RNAcentral lists this ribosomal RNA (254 nucleotides) under uncultured bacterium. RNAcentral describes it as "partial 16S ribosomal RNA". It matches the Rfam family "Bacterial small subunit ribosomal RNA", at positions 524 to 776 of the family's 1533-position model. The record is from RNAcentral.
UACGUAGGGGGCGAGCGUUGUCCGGAUUUAUCGGGCGUAAAGAGCUCGUAGGCGGUUCGAUAAGUCGGACGUGAAAUCUCCACGCUCAACGUGGAGGGGCCGUUCGAUACUGUCGUGACUCGAGUCCGGUAGGGGAGUGUGGAAUUCCCGGUGUAGCGGUGAAAUGCGCAGAGAUCGGGAGGAACACCCGUAGCGAAGGCGGCACUCUGGGCCGGUACUGACGCUGAGGAGCGAAAGCGUGGGGAGCAAACAGG